GACGAACGCUGGCGGCGUGCUUAACACAUGCAAGUCGAACGGAAAGGCCCUGCUUUUGUGGGGUGCUCGAGUGGCGAACGGGUGAGUAACACGUGAGUAACCUGCCCUUGACUUUGGGAUAACUUCAGGAAACUGGGGCUAAUACCGGAUAGGAGCUCCUGCUGCAUGGUGGGGGUUGGAAAGUUUCGGCGGUUGGGGAUGGACUCGCGGCUUAUCAGCUUGUUGGUGGGGUAGUGGCUUACCAAGGCUUUGACGGGUAGCCGGCCUGAGAGGGUGACCGGGGCCAAGGGGACGAAGAGAGGGACCAGCAGCGAACGGGAGGCAACGGGGGGGAGUAGGACAGAAUGGCAUGGGGCCUGUGCUAACAACGCCGCGCGCGGGAAGACGGCUUUCGGGUUGAAAACCAAUGUCCCCUGAGACGAGGAGGGAGUGACGGUAAUGGAUAAAGAAGCCCCGGCUAACUACGUG
Molecule: ribosomal RNA, 468 nt
Filed under: uncultured bacterium
Lineage: Bacteria
Description: partial 16S ribosomal RNA
Rfam family: Bacterial small subunit ribosomal RNA
Source: RNAcentral